RNAcentral lists this ribosomal RNA (498 nucleotides) under uncultured bacterium. Its description in RNAcentral is "partial 16S ribosomal RNA". It matches the Rfam family "Bacterial small subunit ribosomal RNA", at positions 30 to 523 of the family's 1533-position model. The record is from RNAcentral.
AUUGAACGCUGGCGGCAUGCUUUACACAUGCAAGUCGAACGGUAACAGGCCGCAAGGUGCUGACGAGUGGCGAACGGGUGAGUAGUGCAUCGGAACGUGCCCAGUCGUGGGGGAUAACGCAGCGAAAGCUGUGCUAAUACCGCAUACGAUCUAUGGAUGAAAGCGGGGGACCGUAAGGCCUCGCGCGAUUGGACCGGCCGAUGUCAGAUUAGGUAGUUGGUGGGGUAAAGGCUCACCAAGCCAACGAUCUGUAGCUGGUCUGAGAGGACGACCAGCCACACUGGGACUGAGACACGGCCCAGACUCCUACGGGAGGCAGCAGUGGGGAAUUUUGGACAAUGGGCGCAAGCCUGAUCCAGCAAUGCCGCGUGCAGGAAGAAGGCCUUCGGGUUGUAAACUGCUUUUGUACGGAACGAAAAGGUUUGGGUUAAUACCCUGGGCCGAUGACGGUACCGUAAGAAUAAGCACCGGCUAACUACGUGCCAGCAGCCGCCGUAA